GGGGUAUGUUUUGGCUUUUGGUUGUUUGCUUGGUCUUGGUACCGGGUGGGUGGUCAUUAGCCUGAUGUUCUUCGGGGAUGUCAACCGUAAAGGUGCAUGAGUGGUGUUUGGUUUGUUACGGGUGGUUGGAUGUCUGUUUGCGCAGCAACUUCCUCGCGUGCAUACCUUUUCAGUUUUGCUACAAGGCCUUCAAUGGUCUUGUGCAUCCGGUGGGUUUCUGUGUUGCAUACCGAACAAAAGGCAUCGCAAGGCUAUAUCAAUCUUCAUUUCGUAAUGCGUCGCUUGCGUCGUUAAACGAACCUUGAAGCGGUCUCUUUUUUCCAUACUGUUGUUGUCUAUACGAUGAUAGCAUGGCCUUUGGAGCAUCGUUGGUCUCUUGGAUAUGGAACAUGAUGUGGGCUGUAGGUUCUUUUUUGAUCCUAGAUUCGCCCUCGUUUAGCGUUCUCGCUUCUCUAAACGACCGUCUAUCGUGUGUCGGCAUGUUCGUGCAUGAUGGGUUGUGUCGAAGAGGAAUGC
RNAcentral lists this unclassified non-coding RNA (516 nucleotides) under Pinaropappus roseus. Its description in RNAcentral is "partial external transcribed spacer". The record is from RNAcentral. Lineage: Eukaryota; Viridiplantae; Streptophyta; Magnoliopsida; Asterales; Asteraceae.